CUCGGGAAACUGAGGCUAAUGCUCGAUACAGCUCCCAGAUUUGAACAUCGUGAGCUGGAAACGCUCCGGCGCCGUAGGAUGUGGCUGCGGCCGAUUAGGUAGACGGUGGGGUAACGGCCCACCGUGCCGAUAAUCGGUACAGGUGGUGAGAGCCAGAGCCCGGAGACGGAAUCUGAGACAAGAUUCCGGGCCCUACGGGGCGCAGCAGGCGCGAAACCUUUACACUGCACGACAGUGCGAUAAGGGGACUCCGAGUGCGAGGGCAUAUAGUCCUCGCUUUUCUGUACCGUAAGGUGGUACAGGAACAAGUGCUGGGCAAGACCGGUGCCAGCCGCCGCGGUAAUACCGGCAGUCCGAGUGAUGGUCGAUCUUAUUGGGCCUAAAGCGUCCGUAGCCUGCCGAGCAAGUCCGUUGGGAAAUCGACGCGCUCAACUACUGGACGUCCGGCGGAAACUGUCUGGCUUGGGGCCGGAAGAUCUGAGGGGUACGUCCGGGGUAGGAGUGAAAUCCUGUAAUCCUGGACGGACCACCGGUGGCGAAAGCGCCUCAGGAAGCACGGAUCCGACAGUGAGGGACGAAAGCUAGGGUCUCGAACCGGAUUAGAUACCCGCGUAGUCCUAGCUGUAAACGAUGCCCGCUAGGUUUGGCGCAGGCUACGAGCCU
Molecule: ribosomal RNA, 663 nt
Filed under: halophilic archaeon
Lineage: Archaea; Methanobacteriati; Methanobacteriota; Halobacteria; Halobacteriales
Description: bacterial SSU rRNA
Rfam family: Archaeal small subunit ribosomal RNA
Source: RNAcentral